RNAcentral lists this ribosomal RNA (503 nucleotides) under uncultured bacterium. RNAcentral's name for it is "partial 16S ribosomal RNA". It matches the Rfam family "Bacterial small subunit ribosomal RNA", at positions 29 to 507 of the family's 1533-position model. The record is from RNAcentral.
AACGAACGCUGGCGGCGUGCCUAACACAUGCAAGUCGAACGAGAAAGGGGCUUCGGCUCCGAGUACUGUGGCGCACGGGUGAGUAACACGUCGGUAACCUGCCUCUCAGAUUGGUAUAACUCGUCGAAAGAUGAGCUACUACUGCAUAAGACCACAGUUCCCGCGGGAACAGGGGUCAGAGGUAGCCUCUGCUUGCAAGCUAUCUCUUAGCUAUGCGCCUGCGCACGAUUAGCUUGUUGGUAGGGUAACGGCGUACCAAGGCGAGGAAGGUUAGCUGGUCGGAGAGGAUGAUCAGCCAGACUGGGAGGGUGACACGGUCCAGACGGAUAGGGGAGGCGGCAGUGGGGAAUAUGGCGCAAGGAGCGGAAGAUAGACGAAGCAGCGCGGAAGGAGGAAGGAGGAACUUCGGGUCGUAGAGCUCUGUCGUGAGGAUCGAAUGCGCCUGAGGUUAAGAGCCUCGGGAGGUGACGGUACCUGCAAAGGAAGCACCGGCUAACUAUGUG